CUAACAUCUGUGCCCAUCUUCCUCUGCUUUAUAUGUGGGACACCCGCCACAGCAUGGCUUGACAAGCGGUGCCAUGUCCGCACCCGGGAUCCGAACUGGCGAACCCCAGGCCGCCGAAGCAGAAUGUGAGAACUUAACCGCUGUGCCACCAGACCAGCCCCUCAAGAUGCACUCUUAUUAUCAUCUCUACAAGAUGAUCAAAAGCAACAUUUGGAACACAUCUUUUAAAUAGCUCCAUCUAAUAUCACUGCUGCUGAGACUUCUGACUCCUCCCUACUGCCUCGUCAGUGACCUCAGAUCCUACUGGAUUCCAGAGCUCGAUCCUCGGUGCAAUGAUUCCAACUCCAGGGAGGAGCUUCUGAAAUGAAGCUAUAGAUUGUUUGGUGGAUAAAUAAGCCAAGAAUAGAGGGGGGAUGUUGUGACCUGGAGAGGCAGCUAACAUGUCAUCUUUUGACAGAGAAAUAAACGUAGAAAAAUAACCAUGGAAAUGAAGAAAGAAAACAUGUAGAAGACGAAAAGAAUAGCAAUAGAGCCAGAAAUUUCCAACAGACCAUAAGAGCUGGGAAGAAAAAAAGCACAAGACUUUGCUGGUUUUGUUUGGUUGUAGCUAAGCUCUUGGGCCUUUCUGUACUUUGGCUUCUGUCUCUGAAAUGGAAACAUAACACUGCCACCUCCUUCCAGCAGACUUGAUGUUGGAGAAAGAAACAGUGCACCAACUAUGAAAGCUCUCACAGCUCUCCAGAGGAAGGGAGUCAGAUCAGUUCAGUCCAAGCGACCGAAACACUCAACACAGAUAAUAAUGACAGCAAUAAUGAGCACUGAAAUUUUCGCAGAAUUUAACAGUUUAUCAGGUGUUUUAAAUAUAUCAUUUCAUUGGCCCUUAUAACAAGGUGUGAAAUAGGGAGGCCAUUUUUAAAAUUAACUUGACAGACGACGAAAUUCAGGCCCAGAGAAGAGGAGUGACUUGCCCAAGAUGGAACAGCUAGUUAACAGCAGGACAAGCAUCUGACAGGAGUCUGGUGCUCAUUCCAGUGUAUCAACCUGUACGUGCAGUGAUUGCCUAUUUCCUUCGUUCCUUUCCUACUCCAAGUGAAGCUUGCUUGUUAGCGGGUCACUAAAAGCAAAUAAAGCUUUCUAUUUCUCAUGUAUAGUUCCAGUUCAUCGACUGUCAUAAAGAGCUUAAAUCUCUCUUGACAUUCCCCUACAGCCAAGAUCUGUGAACUCUAGGUCUGUUGAAUCCCUGAACACUCCAAGUCCUAAGCCUUCAUUUCAAAGACCACUAUUCAUAAAUUUUGCUACUUCUGCUUAUCACGUCACAUCUGAGCCACAGAUCAGUUCCUUGGGUCCUUCUUUACAAAAUAUGCUGUCUUUAUCACCAGUUUCUAUUCAUCUGUGGUAUUUUUAUGGUGUUCCUCAUUGUGGUAUCUUGUUAAAACCACGAUAGACAUAAGAAGCAUUCUUAAAGUGAUUUUUUUCUAGUAAGACUCUGUUAAGCCUUUGAACUCAGAAAGAAUGUGAGAGCAGUCCAGGGUAAUUUCAAACAACAAAUAAAAGUUUGUUCUCUUUCAU
This is a long non-coding RNA of Equus asinus (donkey), 1569 nucleotides long. Lineage: Eukaryota; Metazoa; Chordata; Mammalia; Perissodactyla; Equidae. The record is from Ensembl.